RNAcentral lists this small nucleolar RNA (107 nucleotides) under Sorghum bicolor (sorghum). Its description in RNAcentral is "Plant small nucleolar RNA R71". It matches the Rfam family "Plant small nucleolar RNA R71". Rfam says of the family: R71 is a member of the C/D box family of snoRNAs containing the C (UGAUGA) and D (CUGA) box motifs. Multiple nearly identical copies of this snoRNA have been identified in Arabidopsis, and it is thought to function as a 2'-O-ribose methylation guide for 18S ribosomal RNA. The record is from Rfam by way of RNAcentral. Lineage: Eukaryota; Viridiplantae; Streptophyta; Magnoliopsida; Poales; Poaceae.
GUGCCGUGAUGUGGGCAUGCUUGGAUGUAGUCUUAAAGUCGUUCCCAUGCCUUAGGAAUUGAUUCCAUGGCACUCUGCUGGAAGUUUGAAAUUCUUCCCCUUAGGGC